GUGAAAUUCAAUUUAUCUGUCAUUAAUAUUUUAUCUUUUUACACUGUUUUGCUGCAUGAAAGGUUUACAUUUUUAUGUGUUAAGUUUAUCUGCAUAUUUAUUUAUGGCUUUGGAUUUUAUCAUGUGCUGUGGUAUGGCUCUUUAUUGUCCCCCCAAAAAAGCUCAUGUUUUGAAAGCAUGGUCACCAGUAUAUCCAAGGAUUUUAAGCUAUGAUUAGGGCUCUGAUCUUGUUAGUGGAUUAAUCUAUAUGUUGGAUUAAUCAGUUGAUAGUUCAACCGACUACUGAAGGAUGGGUCAUUGUUCACUGGGGCAUGCCCUGAAAGGGUUUAUCUAGUCUCUUGCCUUUUCCCCUCACCCUCUCCUCUCCUUUCCCCUCCCCUCCCUUCUUCCCCCCCCUCCUAUUCUUCCUCCUCUUCUCCUUCCUUCCUUCCUUCCUUCCUCUCCCCCACAUUCUCCCUCUCUCUCGCUCUCUCUCUCCCUCUCUUUCCCUCUCUUCCUUUUUCCCUCCCUCCCUCUUCCUGGCUGUCAUAAACUCAGCAGCUUUGUUCAACUAUGCCUUUCUGCCAUGAUGCUCUGUCCCACCCACCUCAGGUGUAAAGCAGUGGAGUCAACUGACCAUGGACUGAGACCUCUGAAACUGUGAGCACAAAAUAAGCUUUUCCUACUCUAGGUUGUUCUUAUCAGGUAUUUUGGACAGUGAUGAACAGUUAUGGUUAGAAUAUAUUUUUCUAUACCAAGAUUAUAAAAAUCACCAUUCCCUAUUUUAUCCAUGUAAUCCUGACUCCAUAUAGAAUUGUUUUGCAGCACUGGGGAUCAAGCCCAGGACCUCAUUCAUACUUUGCAAGUACCAUACACCCCCAGCCCCAUAUGAUACAAAAGGCCAUAUUUAUCAUGUAUCAUGUAUUAAAGUCCCACAUAUACACUAUUUUAAGAUGUAGCAAAUACCAUGUGGCAAACAAAAUGUCUUAGAAUUCUUCAAGCCUAAGAAAGUAUAACUACAGUAAGAAUGGUUUUCAGUAUCAACCCAGAUAUGCAGGGAUAGAAAAAAGAUGUCUGGGUGCUUAGCUGUUGAAUAGAGGCUGGGGGAGGGUCAAAUACAGUUGAUGAUAUAAUAAAGAGUGGUAGGAUUCUGUCUGGAACUCCAUAGGCCUAAAGGAAAGACUCUGGCAACCUUCUUAAGACUGCUGUACUCUUGAGUGCUGAGGUCCAAUUCUAUGGCUUCUCUGGAUACCUUGGUGUUCAGUUAACUUUCAGGUAAGUGGCUCCCCACCAGGCAUGAUUAAGGUAUAUCAGCAAGUAAAUGAAUGUAUCACUUAUGAAUGUCUUUAGUAAUAGAAAGCCCAAAAUAUAAUGGAUCAAAUAGGGGUUUAUUAUUAUUAUAGUAAAAAUGAGGGUGAGUCCAAAUGAUCAAGAGAAGAGACUAUGAAGUCAGACAAGUAACUAGGAUCAUAAUCUGACCUACAAUUUAAUGAGAUCUGUUUGGCUUCUCAGAUGAUGGUGGGUACCAGUGGAAGUAGUGUUAAGUGGAAGGAUUCUGGAUAUAUUUUAUAGAUAAAUCUGACAGGAUUUUUUUCUGGUAAGUAAGGUGAGGAAGUGAAAGAGUCAAAGAUGAUGCACAAGCACUGGCUUGAACAGCUGAAAAGUUUCCCAUUGAUUAAGUUUUGGAAGGUUCAUAGGGGAGCAGUAUAGACAUCUGACCUGACACAGUGUAGUAAGGUUUGUUUUGCUUUGAUGUUAGAGUGGGAAUACAUUUUACUUUGGACUACUGAGCAUGUUCAGGAUUCAUCCACAUAAGUCAAUGAAUUAUCUGUGUGUGAAAGGUGGGAAGCUUUUUUUCAGUAAGAACUAACCCCUCCCCCCCCCAAAAAAAAAAAGAAGAAGAAGAACUAAACCCUUGCUUUCUAACUUUUCAGACAAAGCUGCUGUGUAAAGAACUAAGGACAAAGAAAUUUCCCUUUGGCAGAGUAAGAGUCCAUGGAGCCCCAGAAGCUGCUGAGCAUUGUAUUUCUGUUGUGUUCACUGACUUGCUCCUUGUUGGUGACAGUAGCUUCCCCUCCUUCGCCAUUAUAUGAUUUUGGAAUUCAAGAAAACGCAGGACUGAAACCACGCUCAAGGGGUGUGUUUGCUGUUAGGAUGAAUGUUCCUAUCUUCAUAAGACAUAGGAUUCAUGUUGCAGGUCAGGAAAAACUGAUUUCAUGUGAAAUAAUGUUCACAAGAAAGCUAACUAUACUGGUUUGGUUAAGUUUAGUUCAACAAGCAUUAACUUAACUAGUUUCUACCAAGCCCUUUGUAGGGUAGACAAAACCAUAGAUGCUAACCUUCCAUGGAAUUUAACAAAUGCUCCCAAAGAACAUGGGGAUAAUCAAAGUUGUUUGGGCAGGCGAAAAAUAGGGAAGAUUUGAAAAGGAGGUUAAACUUGAAAUAAGGAAACAUGAUGGUCCACUGAUCUUUCUAGAGGCUCCCAAAGCCAUGCUUUCAACAUGCAUGCUGCAGCUCCAGUUCUGGAAAGGGUUGUGGUGACUGGUGGACUUUUUCAAUUAAGUGUGAAGCCACUUUUGUUUUCCCCUGCCUCUUUCCUUAGAGUCAAAUCACAAUAUACUCACUCUUCUGUCCCCAUUUUCUAAAGGAAAUACCCAACAUCUCAAGCUUUACUUUGAUCAGCAGAUACCCCCAAAGUUUCUCUUUCCAGUUGCCCUAGCCUUUUCCUCCUCUGCUCCCAGGGCUGGUGGGUUUUUCUUUUCUCUUCAUGGGAUAUUAAUUCCCCCAAGCCUCCUGAAGUACUCUAGAACUUCCAGAUAUACUCUAGGAAACAAUGUGUUAGUGAAGAUUAUCAUUUUCUUGUGUUCAGUUUAUGCUCCUCUUUCACAAAGUACCCCAUAAAUUCAACCCUUCAGAUAUGUAGGACAGAGAUUGAUAUCUAGAGCAGAUAUCUAUUGGCAGAGAUAUCUAGGGCAGUUGAUUGUUCAUAUUUGAUCUAUAAGGAUGCAAACAUGAUAUCCACCUGAGGAUACCUCUUUAAAAUAAUGUAUACUCUUUGAACAUCUUAGAGGCAGCACAGCAAAAUAUGUAAGACAUUCUGAGUAACUGUAGGAACAUAUCUUGGAUAACUGUUUGGGCUCAAACUGAGAUUCAAAUCCCAACCCCAUCAUUUACUUGACCUUUCUGCAGUGAAUGUCUAUGCUCUUUCUACAGGAGACCAGAGGUCUUGGCUGAGCGACUUCUGGGAUUACCUGUGGGACCUCAUCAUGAGCUCCAUACCUCCAGCAGCCAUUUUUGCUUUUCUUAUCACCAUAUCACUAAUGGGGACCCUCUGUUGCCUAACGUAAGAUACUGUAGGAAUGAGAAGAGGGGAAAACUUUAGGGGUGGGGUACAGAAACACUUAGGUUCCCUAAGAGUUGCACAUUUGUAAUUAAGGGACAGUUUUAAGGAAAAAGAUUUGGGGAUCAAAACUUAAUUUAACUCCUAAUUUUCUUUCCUUGGCUAAGGAACCAUGUAUAAUUGUGUUCUCAGUUGCCUGAAAAUUUAACAAAAUAUUUAUGUAUAUAAAUCAUAUUAAGCCAAGGAGAUUCCCAAGGAAAGAGAUAUAGUUAAACUAAAUUUGUUAAGUGAACCAGUAUUUACCAAGAAAUUACCACUUGUCCAUUUCUGUCUGACUUGGUUGCUAGAAAGAGAAAUAAGACAUAUAAUUUCUUUGAUGAAAGGAACCAAAUUAACCCAACAGAAAAAUAUUUUAAAAUUCUAAAUGUUGCAGAAAUAAAAGAAGACUCUCAAUAAUACUCCUUGAUUUUUACUGUAUUUCACAGUAAGGAUUGCAAAUAUCCUCUAUGCUCAUCUCUACACUAGCUUAUUACCUGAGGCAAUCAGCAUGGAAGCCUGGAUAAUCUCCCAGUACUGUAGAGGCAGAGGACUGACUGGCACUAAGAAUACAAAAAUAUACAUACAAGGAAAUUUUAGUACUGUUUAUAAUAUUGAAAAAAGUGGAGACAACUUAAAUGUCUGUUAUUCUAGGGAUGGAUAAAAAAACCAUUGUGCAUUUAUACUGUGAGUACUAUAUAGUCAUAAAAUGUUGAUGUAGAGAAUAAUUAUGUGGACACAUUUAUGGAAUGAUAUUGAAUGGAAAACAGAUUAUAAUAGAGGAUAUGCAGUUUAAUCCAAUUUGUAAUUUAAAACUAAACGUGCAGGACUUGAUCAAAAUAUUAGACAUUUUAUCUCCAUGUGAUAGUGAAUAGAUUGUUUCAAUUAUUGUUAUUUUCAUUUUUAUCAUUUUAUCUGAACUUGCAAUCUUUCUGUAACUAUAUUGUUUGAUCAGUACAUUUUUUAAAUUAUACUUUUAAAUGAAAGAAGAAAAACUAUGUGACCAUACUUCUCUAUCACUACGUCCAAUCCCACUGUAUUAGAAACACACUCUUACUGUUUUCUCAAGUCAUCAAAGCACUUAAUCUGUAUAUGAGAUAAUUAAAAAAAAAUUUAGUCACCAGUGCACCUUUCUUUAUUUAUUUCUAUGUGGUGCUGAGGAUGGAACCCAGUGCCUCACACAUGCCAGUCAAGAACUCUACUACUGAGCUAUAACACCAGCCCCUGUAUUAAAUAAUUUGAUUCAUAUUAAAAGAAGCAACUGUCUAAAAAUUCAGUCUUGGAAAAAUUACAUGGUAAUUCCAUGCAGACCAAGAGAGUGUAUAGGACUGUACACUUACUUCAGCAUUUACCAUUUUAUCUUUUGUCAGUAUUCUUAUAGGUGAACCAGUCCACUGAAGAACUAGAAGACUGAUUAGGGCAAUUGUGGUGUUUGGUUUUCCAGAUUUCAAGACAAUGGAAAAUGUAUUGUUUGCUUAAAAUGAUGUUAAAUUAUUAAAUUAUAUUCUG
This 4864-nucleotide long non-coding RNA is filed under the name Marmota monax (woodchuck). The record is from RNAcentral. Lineage: Eukaryota; Metazoa; Chordata; Mammalia; Rodentia; Sciuridae.